This 791-nucleotide ribosomal RNA is filed under the name uncultured bacterium. RNAcentral describes it as "bacterial SSU rRNA". It matches the Rfam family "Bacterial small subunit ribosomal RNA", at positions 8 to 796 of the family's 1533-position model. The record is from RNAcentral.
AGAGUUUGAUCAUGGCUCAGAUUGAACGCUGGCGGCAUGCUUUACACAUGCAAGUCGAACGGCAGCGCGGGGCAACCUGGCGGCGAGUGGCGAACGGGUGAGUAAUAUAUCGGAACGUACCCAAGAGUGGGGGAUAACGUAGCGAAAGUUACGCUAAUACCGCAUACGAUCUAUGGAUGAAAGUGGGGGAUCGCAAGACCUCAUGCUCCUGGAGCGGCCGAUAUCUGAUUAGCUAGUUGGUGAGGUAAAGGCUCACCAAGGCGACGAUCAGUAGCUGGUCUGAGAGGACGACCAGCCACACUGGAACUGAGACACGGUCCAGACUCCUACGGGAGGCAGCAGUGGGGAAUUUUGGACAAUGGGCGCAAGCCUGAUCCAGCAAUGCCGCGUGAGUGAAGAAGGCCUUCGGGUUGUAAAGCUCUUUUGUCAGGGAAGAAACGGUUGAGGCUAAUAUCCUCGGCUAAUGACGGUACCUGAAGAAUAAGCACCGGCUAACUACGUGCCAGCAGCCGCGGUAAUACGUAGGGUGCAAGCGUUAAUCGGAAUUACUGGGCGUAAAGCGUGCGCAGGCGGUUUUGUAAGUCUGUCGUGAAAGCCCCGGGCUCAACCUGGGAAUUGCGAUGGAGACUGCAAGGCUUGAAUCUGGCAGAGGGGGGUAGAAUUCCACGUGUAGCAGUGAAAUGCGUAGAGAUGUGGAGGAACACCGAUGGCGAAGGCAGCCCCCUGGGUCAAGAUUGACGCUCAUGCACGAAAGCGUGGGGAGCAAACAGGAUUAGAUACCCUGGUAGUCC